Molecule: long non-coding RNA, 1059 nt
Organism: Culex pipiens pallens (northern house mosquito)
Lineage: Eukaryota; Metazoa; Arthropoda; Insecta; Diptera; Culicidae
Exons: 3
Source: RefSeq, a predicted model, not a curated record
GAAAUUUCCAUAAAUAACGUUUCGGCCAAUGCUACGGUGGUUCCGAUUCCGGAACCGCCUGUAGAUCAAAAUUUUUCAAUGACUCUUUCAGGGGUAUGCCAGGGCAAAAUUGAUGAGAUUACCGCUGUUCCGAUACCGGAUCCACCGGUCACGGAGCAAAAUUCAAUUGACAAUCCUUUGGUUGAUUCCGAAAGACCGGUGGAUCUGGUUGAGGAAUCAACGGUAAUCGAUUCUGUUGUAUUUUUGGAACCUACUGCGGCGGCUUCCACUUUGGAACCGCGCGCAGAACGUUAUGUCCGUAAAUUUGAUUUGUCCAUUUCAGACUCUUCGGAGGGAGUUCCGGAACCUCGAAAUUUAAAAACUUCGCAAAAUUCUAAAAAAUCCGCUCGAUUUUCAGAUUUGGCCCAAGUUAAAGAGUUCACAGUGUCGGAAUCUUCAAUUCCGACCCUGUACUCGGUUCCGGUGAAAGGUUGCCCGGAAACGGUGCCGGAACUGCCUCCACAAAAUUCAAAUGAAGUAAAAUAUUUUUGGUGUUACACCUGUCAAAAUUCUCGUACUAAUUCUUUGCCCUGGUUGCUGCGAUUGCGGUAUUCCAAAUUAUCGAUGUAUUUGCGCCAUUUGUUUUGUAGUUCGAUGUUUUGCGCUGUUAUUUGUUUGGUAGUUUUUGUUUGAAUUGUUUAAUGCUUUUUUCUCGUUUCAUGAGCUGUUUCUAGUUUUGAGCGUUUCUUGGUUACCGAUGAUGAGACGAUUGGAUUGGAGAUUUCAGAGUAGACUAAAUAUUAUUGAUGAUGAUGACGAUGAUGGCGAUGAUGAUGACUAUAUGACGAGCAAGACGAUGAUGCAGAUGAUGGAUGGGCGAAGAUUAGAUUCUAUGAGAUGAAUUUUGGAUGGAUUAGCAAGAUGCCGAAUUACUGGACCGAACGACGAUACCGACGGAGAGGCCUUUUUGGAGAUCUUGAAGACUGAAGAUUUUGUUUUAUAAUGAAAUGUAUUAUAUUUUUGUAAUGUAUUUUUGCAUUGUUUGUAAUAAAUUUUUUGAAAACAAAAUUGUGUUGCUUU